This 460-nucleotide ribosomal RNA is filed under the name uncultured bacterium. RNAcentral's name for it is "partial 16S ribosomal RNA". It matches the Rfam family "Bacterial small subunit ribosomal RNA", at positions 338 to 795 of the family's 1533-position model. The record is from RNAcentral.
CCUACGGGAGGCAACAGUGAGGAAUAUUGGUCAAUGGACGAGAGUCUGAACCAGCCAAGUAGCGUGAAGGAUGACUGCCCUAUGGGUUGUAAACUUCUUUUAUAUGGGAAUAAAAUGUUCCACGUGUGGGAUUUUGUAUGUACCAUAUGAAUAAGGAUCGGCUAACUCCGUGCCAGCAGCCGCGGUAAUACGGAGGAUCCGAGCGUUAUCCGGAUUUAUUGGGUUUAAAGGGAGCGUAGGUGGAUUGUUAAGUCAGUUGUGAAAGUUUGGGGCUCAACCGUAAAAUUGCAGUUGAUACUGGCAGGCUGGAGUACAGUAGCGGUAGGCGGAAUUCGUGGUGUAGCGGUGAAAUGCUUAGAUAUCAUAAAGAACUCCGAUUGCGAAGGCAGCUCACUGAACUGCAACUGACACUGAGGCUCGAAAGUGUGGGUAUCAAACAGGAUUAGAUACCCGGGUAGUC